This 459-nucleotide ribosomal RNA is filed under the name uncultured bacterium. RNAcentral describes it as "bacterial SSU rRNA". It matches the Rfam family "Bacterial small subunit ribosomal RNA", at positions 28 to 507 of the family's 1533-position model. The record is from RNAcentral.
GAUGAACGUUGGCGGUGUGCCUAAUACAUGCAAGUCGAACGGAGUUAAUAGCAAUAUUGGCUCAGUGGCGAACGGGUGAGUAACGCGUUGGUGAUCUGCCUUGAAGUGUGGAAUAACGUUUCGAAAGGAACGCUAAUACCGCAUGUGCUCUCGAUUUUCAGAAAGUUGAGAGUAAAGGAUUUAUUCGCUUCAAGAGGAGCCUGCGUCCCAUCAGCUGGUUGGUAGGGUAACGGCCUACCAAGGCUAUGACGGGUAGGGGACCUGAGAGGGUGGCCCCCCACAAUGGAACUGAAACACGGUCCAUACACCUACGGGUGGCAGCAGUAGGGAAUAUUAGAAAUGGACGAAAGUCUGAUCUAGCAACACCGCGUGUGCGAAGAAGGCCUUCGGGUCGUAAAGCACUUUUUGGAAGGAAUAGGAAGGAAUGUACUUCCAGAAUAAGUCUCGGCUAACUACGUG